This 253-nucleotide ribosomal RNA is filed under the name uncultured bacterium. RNAcentral describes it as "partial 16S ribosomal RNA". It matches the Rfam family "Bacterial small subunit ribosomal RNA", at positions 524 to 776 of the family's 1533-position model. The record is from RNAcentral.
UACGAAGGGGGCUAGCGUUGUUCGGAAUUACUGGGCGUAAAGCGCGCGCAGGCGGUUCUUUAAGUCAGAGGUGAAAGCCCAGGGCUCAACCCUGGAAUGGCCUUUGAGACUAGAGAACUAGGGUACGGGAGAGGUGAGUGGAAUUCCGAGUGUAGAGGUGAAAUUCGUAGAUAUUCGGAAGAACACCAGUGGCGAAGGCGGCUCACUGGCCCGUUACCGACGCUCAGGCGCGAAAGCGUGGGGAGCAAACAGG